This 417-nucleotide long non-coding RNA is filed under the name Androctonus crassicauda. Lineage: Eukaryota; Metazoa; Arthropoda; Arachnida; Scorpiones; Buthidae. The record is from RNAcentral.
UUAUUGUGGCUUCUUGUGUAAAGACAGUAACUGUGGAACUGUGAUGUUGUCUUUUGUGUUGUUAAAAUAAGAACUGUCUUAUCUGUGUACGUAUGAGUCCUCCUGUCAUUGUAUUUGGCACGUGAAUAUUGUGUACAAGGAAAUGUUAAGACUGGUUACCCCUAAACAACAUAUACUUAUACCUGCUUCUGGAAAAGUGUUUAAGACUUAGCUAGGUUUCCAUUUAGAUCUUCAUAUCUGUUGCAUGGAAGAAAGUUGGAAUCUUGGCAUAGAGUUGCAUGAUAUGUAAGAUUUUGUGCAUUAAUAAUUGUUAAAAUCUGUGUUCCAAAAGUGGACAUAGCAUGUACAGGCAGUUUUCUGUCCUGUGCACAAAACAGUUUAAAAAAAAGUUGUUUAAUAUUUGUUGUUGUAUACCCA